GCAUAUCAAUAAGCGGAGGAAAAGAAACCAACAGGGAUUGCCCUAGUAACGGCGAGUGAAGCGGCAACAGCUCAAAUUUGAAAUCUGGCGUCUUCGGCGUCCGAGUUGUAAUUUGCAGAGGGCGCUUUGGCAUUGGCAGCGGUCCAAGUUCCUUGGAACAGGACGUCACAGAGGGUGAGAAUCCCGUACGUGGUCGCUAGCCUUUACCGUGUAAAGCCCCUUCGACGAGUCGAGUUGUUUGGGAAUGCAGCUCUAAAUGGGAGGUAAAUUUCUUCUAAAGCUAAAUACUGGCCAGAGACCGAUAGCGCACAAGUAGAGUGAUCGAAAGAUGAAAAGCACUUUGGAAAGAGAGUUAAAAAGCACGUGAAAUUGUUGAAAGGGAAGCGCUUGCAGCCAGACUUGCCUGUAGUUGCUCAUCCGGGUUUCUACCCGGUGCACUCUUCUAUGGGCAGGCCAGCAUCAGUUUGGGCGGUUGGAUAAAGGUCUCUGUCAUGUACCUCUCUUCGGGGAGAACUUAUAGGGGAGACGUCAUGCAACCAGCCUGGACUGAGGUCCGCGCAUCUGCUAGGAUGCUGGCGUAAUGGCUGUAAGCGGCCCGUCUUGAAACACGGACCAAGGAGUCUAACAUCUAUGCGAGUGUUUGGGUGUCAAGCCCGAGCGCGUAAUGAAAGUGAACGGAGGUGGGAACCUUUCGGGGUGCACCAUCGACCGAUCCUGAUGUCUUCGGAUGGAUUUGAGUAAGAGCAUAGCUGUUGGGACCCGAAAGAUGGUGAACUAUGCUUGAAUAGGGUGAAGCCAGAGGAAACUCUGGUGGAGGCUCGCAGCGGUUCUGACGUGCAAAUCGAUCGUCAAAUUUGGGCAUAGGGGCGAAAGACUAAUCGAACUAUCUAGUAGCUGGUUCCUGCCGAAGU
Molecule: ribosomal RNA, 911 nt
Filed under: Didymella pinodella
Lineage: Eukaryota; Fungi; Ascomycota; Dothideomycetes; Pleosporales; Didymellaceae
Description: LSU rRNA
Rfam family: Eukaryotic large subunit ribosomal RNA
Source: RNAcentral